AGUGAACGCUGGCGGUAGGCCUAACACAUGCAAGUCGAACGGCAGCACAGUAAGAGCUCGCUCUUACGGGUGGCGAGUGGCGGACGGGUGAGGAAUACAUCGCAAUCUACUUUUUCGUGGGUGAUAACGUAGGGAAACUUACGCUAAUACCGCAUACGACCUACGGGUGAAAGCAGGGGAUCUUCGGACCUUGCGCGAGUGAAUGAGCCGAUGUCGGAUUAGCUAGUUGGCGGGGUAAAGGCCCACCAAGGCGACGAUCCGUAGCUGGUCUGAGAGGAUGAUCAGCCACACUGGAACUGAGACACGGUCCAGACUCCUACGGGAGGCAGCAGUGGGGAAUAUUGGACAAUGGGCGAAAGCCUGAUCCAGCCAUGCCGCGUGUGUGAAGAAGGCCUUCGGAUUGUAAAGCCCUUUUGUUGGGAAAGAAAAGCAGUAGGUUAAUACCCCGCUGUUUUGACGGUACCCAAAGAAUAAGCACCGGCUAACUUCGUG
RNAcentral lists this ribosomal RNA (492 nucleotides) under uncultured bacterium. RNAcentral's name for it is "partial 16S ribosomal RNA". It matches the Rfam family "Bacterial small subunit ribosomal RNA", at positions 29 to 507 of the family's 1533-position model. The record is from RNAcentral.